Molecule: non-coding RNA, 107 nt
Organism: Beta vulgaris subsp. vulgaris (sugar beet)
Lineage: Eukaryota; Viridiplantae; Streptophyta; Magnoliopsida; Caryophyllales; Amaranthaceae
Source: Rfam
AACUCAUGGUGAGGGCAUGAACGAAUCAUCUCCUUGAACCGCUCCCAAGCUUCCGUAAGUGUCUCAUAGUUCUCUUGCUCAAAUGAGGAGAUCUUCCUCCUUAUGUA